Molecule: ribosomal RNA, 622 nt
Filed under: uncultured archaeon
Lineage: Archaea
Description: bacterial SSU rRNA
Rfam family: Archaeal small subunit ribosomal RNA
Source: RNAcentral
UAAUACUCCAUAGAUUAGAGACACUGGAAUGUUCUUUAGUCGAAAGUUCUGGCGCCUUAGGAUGGAUCUGCGGUCGAUUAGGUUGUUGUUGGGGUAACGGCCCAACAAGCCUGUAAUCGAUACGGGUUGUGGGAGCAAGAGCCCGGAGAUGGAAUCUGAGACACGAUUCCAGGCCCUACGGGGCGCAGCAGGCGCGAAAACUUUACAAUGCAGGAAACUGUGAUAAGGGAACUCCGAGUGCCCGUAUACGCGGGCUGUCCAGGUGUUUAAAAAUCAUCUGAAGAAAGGGCCGGGCAAGACCGGUGCCAGCCGCCGCGGUAAUACCGGCGGCUCGAGUGGUGGCCACUAUUAUUGGGCUUAAAGCGUCCGUAGCUGGACCGAUAAGUCUCUUGGGAAAUCCGCCGGCUCAACCGGCGGGCGUCUAAGGGAUACUGUUAGUCUAGGGACCGGGAGAGGUGAGAGGUACUCCGGGGGUAGGAGUGAAAUCCUGUAAUCCCCGGGGGACCACCGAUGGCGAAGGCAUCUCACCAGAACGGCUCCUACAGUGAGGGACGAAAGCUGGGGGAGCGAACCGGAUUAGAUACCCGGGUAGUCCCAGCCGUAAACUAUGCGCGUUAGGUGU